RNAcentral lists this ribosomal RNA (681 nucleotides) under Leuconostoc lactis. RNAcentral's name for it is "bacterial SSU rRNA". It matches the Rfam family "Bacterial small subunit ribosomal RNA", at positions 64 to 731 of the family's 1533-position model. Lineage: Bacteria; Bacillati; Bacillota; Bacilli; Lactobacillales; Lactobacillaceae. The record is from RNAcentral.
GCGCAGCGAAAGGUGCUUGCACCUUUCAAGCGAGUGGCGAACGGGUGAGUAACACGUGGAUAACCUGCCUCAAGGCUGGGGAUAACAUUUGGAAACAGAUGCUAAUACCGAAUAAAACUUAGUAUCGCAUGAUACAAAGUUGAAAGGCGCUACGGCGUCACCUAGAGAUGGGUCCGCGGUGCAUUAGUUAGUUGGUGGGGUAAAGGCCUACCAAGACAAUGAUGCAUAGCCGAGUUGAGAGACUGAUCGGCCACAUUGGGACUGAGACACGGCCCAAACUCCUACGGGAGGCUGCAGUAGGGAAUCUUCCACAAUGGGCGAAAGCCUGAUGGAGCAACGCCGCGUGUGUGAUGAAGGCUUUAGGGUCGUAAAGCACUGUUGUAUGGGAAGAAAUGCUAGAAUAGGGAAUGAUUCUAGUUCGACGGUACCAUACCAGAAAGGGACGGCUAAAUACGUGCCAGCAGCCGCGGUAAUACGUAUGUCCCGAGCGUUAUCCGGAUUUAUUGGGCGUAAAGCGAGCGCAGACGGUUGAUUAAGUCUGAUGUGAAAGCCCGGAGCUCAACUCCGGAAUGGCAUUGGAAACUGGUUAACUUGAGUGUUGUAGAGGUAAGUGGAACUCCAUGUGUAGCGGUGGAAUGCGUAGAUAUAUGGAAGAACACCAGUGGCGAAGGCGGCUUACUG